AGCAGCCGCGGUAAUUCCAGCUCCAAUAGCGUAUAUUAAAGUUGUUGCAGUUAAAAAGCUCGUAGUUGAAUUUCGGGGUCAGUAGAUUGGUCAUGCCACUGGUAUGUACUGGUCUCACUGAUUCCUCCUUCCUGAUGAGCCGUAAUGCCAUUAAUUUGGUGUUGCGAGGAAUCUGGACUGUUACUUUGAAAAAUUAGAGUGUUUAAAGCAGGCUAACGCUUGAAUACAUUAGCAUGGAAUAAUGAAAUAGGACGUUCGAUCUUAUUUUGUUGGUUUCUAAGAUUGACGUAAUGAUUAAUAGGGAUAGUUGGGGCAUUAGUAUUCAAUUGUCAGAGGUGAAAUUCUUGGAUUUAUUGAAGACUAACUACUGCGAAAGCAUUUGCCAAGGAUAGUUUUCAUUAAUCAAGAACGAAAGUUAGGGGAUCGAAGACGAUCAGAUACCGUCGUAGUCUUAAACCAUAAACUAUGCCGAC
RNAcentral lists this ribosomal RNA (473 nucleotides) under uncultured Glomus. RNAcentral describes it as "SSU rRNA". It matches the Rfam family "Eukaryotic small subunit ribosomal RNA", at positions 569 to 1046 of the family's 1831-position model. Lineage: Eukaryota; Fungi; Glomeromycota; Glomeromycetes; Glomerales; Glomeraceae. The record is from RNAcentral.